Molecule: unclassified non-coding RNA, 1346 nt
Filed under: Hevea brasiliensis (rubber tree)
Lineage: Eukaryota; Viridiplantae; Streptophyta; Magnoliopsida; Malpighiales; Euphorbiaceae
Source: RNAcentral
GAAUCACACUAUUUUUUCCCAAUCCUCUUUGUUAUCUUGUUGUUUGCAUGUUCCCUAUUUCGGUUAUAUCCUAUCCUAUCCCCCCGCGGCGCAUUAUAGCAGCACCGCCGUGAGAAAACAAAAAUGAAGCAUCCAGUAGCAGAAGCGAACGAGUUGAGUCCGUUCGGCACACUGAGUCAAUCCGAGUUCUACUCUCACCACUCAGUAACUCACAACUCCGAAUUCAUUACAAAUUCACGAGGCUUAAAGCUUUUCACUCAAUGGUGGUCCCCACUUCCUCCGACGAAAAUCAUCGGCGUCGUUUGUGUCGUCCAUGGAUUCACCGGAGAAUCGAGCUGGUUUGUUCAACUCACAGCUGUUCACAUCGCGAAAAACGGAUUUAUCGUUUGUGCGAUUGAUCAUCAAGGUCAUGGAUUCUCCGAUGGAUUAAUUGCUCAUAUUCCUGAUUUAAAUCUCGUUGUUGAUGACUGUAUUAGUUUCUUCGAUUCCUUUCGGGAUCUCCAUGUUCCGCCGUCUCUGCCGUCGUUUCUCUAUGCUGAAUCCCUCGGCGGUGCUAUCGCGCUUCUAAUCACUCUCCGGGAAGGCGAUUCUGCUCCCCGCCGGUCGUUUGACGGCGUCGUUUUGAAUGGAGCUAUGUAUGGGAUUAGCAAUAAGUUCAAACCGCCGUGGCCUCUAGAACAUCUACUUGGUAUCGCUGCCGUUUUGAUUCCGACUUGGCCCGUGGUCCCCACUCGCGGCUCGUUGCCUUUGGUUGCAUUCAAGGAGGAGUGGAAGAGGAAAUUGGCAAUAGCAAGUCCAAGGAGACCACUUAUAAAACCACGCCCCGCGACGGCGCGUGAGUUAAUGAGAGUAUGUAGGGAGCUGCAAGGGAGAUUCGAAGAAGUGAAAGUACCAUUUCUGAUCGUCCACGGCAGCGAUGAUGUCAUCUGCGAUCCCGCGUGCGCGGAGGAGCUAUAUCGCCGAUCGACAAGCAAGGACAAAACACUGAAGAUAUAUCCAGGUAUGUGGCACCAGCUGGUUGGAGAACUGGAGGAGAAUGUGGAGCAAGUGUUCGGAGAUGUCGUUGAGUGGCUUAAAAUGAGAGCCGACGUUUCAACCGGCGACAAGGCCACUGUUGACGGUGGCGCGUAGGAGUGGGAGUUGGUUGGGAUAUUCUAGUUGGGAAGUGGUUAAUAAUAUGCCAGUAAAAGUAAGUUAAAGAUCAGUAAACAUUGUGAUCAGUAAGUUAAAGAACCAAAAAAUAAAUUUGUACCAGGCCAUUUAUGUCAAAACUUUAUUAGCCAUGUGACUAUUUAAACUUGUAUUAAUGCAAUAUUUGUUGAUUUAGUUAUGUUGAUAUUAAUUUU